UACGUAGGGUGCGAGCGUUGUCCGGAAUUACUGGGCGUAAAGAGCUCGUAGGUGGUUUGUCGUCGUUGUCCGUGAAAUUCCCUGGCUUAACUGGGGCGUGCGGGCGAUACGGGCAGACUGGAGUACUGCAGGGGAGACUGGAAUUCCUGGUGUAGCGGUGGAAUGCGCAGAUAUCAGGAGGAACACCGGUGGCGAAGGCGGGAUCUCUGG
This 210-nucleotide ribosomal RNA is filed under the name uncultured bacterium. RNAcentral describes it as "partial 16S ribosomal RNA". It matches the Rfam family "Bacterial small subunit ribosomal RNA", at positions 524 to 732 of the family's 1533-position model. The record is from RNAcentral.